This 506-nucleotide ribosomal RNA is filed under the name uncultured bacterium. Its description in RNAcentral is "bacterial SSU rRNA". It matches the Rfam family "Bacterial small subunit ribosomal RNA", at positions 35 to 524 of the family's 1533-position model. The record is from RNAcentral.
GAGCUGGCGGCAUGCCUAUACAUGCAGUCGAGCGGUAUGACGAGAGCUUGCUCUCUGAUUUUAGCGGCGGACGGGUGAGUAACACGUGGGCAACCUGCCCUACAGAUGGGGAUAACUCCGGGAAACCGGGGCUAAUACCGAAUAAUCAGUUUGUCCGCAUGGACAAACUCUGAAAGACGGUUUCGGCUGUCACUGUAGGAUGGGCCCGCGGCGCAUUAGCUAGUUGGUGGGGUAAUGGCCUACCAAGGCAACGAUGCGUAGCCGACCUGAGAGGGUGAUCGGCCACACUGGGACUGAGACACGGCCCAGACUCCUACGGGAGGCAGCAGUAGGGAAUCUUCCACAAUGGACGAAAGUCUGAUGGAGCAAUGCCGCGUGAGCGAAGAAGGUUUUCGGAUCGUAAAGCUCUGUUGUAAGGGAAGAACACGUACGGGAGUAACUGCCCGUGCCAUGACGGUACCUUAUUAGAAAGCCACGGCUAACUACGUGCCAGCAGCCGCGGUAAU